AUUGAAUAUAUCGGGUAAUCGGAUAUUUUUAGCUGACAUUUUGGGUAUCCGAUUGGCCGGAGUCUACUGUCAUGACUGUACUACCAUAAAGAUAAUAAAUAGUAUUUUUUUUCCACUAAUUUAUUGACAUAAUACUUGUUGUAACAUAUUAUAUUUUUGUAUGCUAUUAAAUCAUUUAAAGGACAAUGUACUAUUUUUUUUCUCA
Molecule: long non-coding RNA, 205 nt
Filed under: Mytilus galloprovincialis (Mediterranean mussel)
Lineage: Eukaryota; Metazoa; Mollusca; Bivalvia; Mytilida; Mytilidae
Source: RNAcentral